Molecule: long non-coding RNA, 287 nt
Filed under: Vigna radiata
Lineage: Eukaryota; Viridiplantae; Streptophyta; Magnoliopsida; Fabales; Fabaceae
Description: long non-coding RNA (VRAD_LNC006395)
Source: RNAcentral
AUUGAGUUGACAUUGUUUACCAUAGACACUUGAGAGAAACACUGAUAGUGCAUAUGUGAGAUUAUUACUUUUGAUUCACCUCUUGAGCUGAAUGAUCAUUUUGCCAUGCUUAAACUGCUUGGAUGAUUUCUGUGAGUAUUUGCUUUCCUUGAUUCUGUGUUGGAUACUGUCCACUUCCUUUCUUUGUCCAGAUUUCUUGAGAACUAUGCAACUCUGUGUCUGUCCUUGUGAGUCUUAGUUUUUGUAUGUUGAGUCUGUCACCUCCCUGAUGUCCUCUGAGUUGUUCC